AUUGAACGCUGGCGGCAGGCUUAACACAUGCAAGUCGAGCGGGGGAAGGUAGCUUGCUACCGGACCUAGCGGCGGACGGGUGAGUAAUGCUUAGGAAUCUGCCUAUUAGUGGGGGACAACAUCUCGAAAGGGAUGCUAAUACCGCAUACGUCCUACGGGGGAAAGCAGGGGAUCUUCGGACACCGCGCCAAGAGAUGAUCAUAAGUCGGAUUAGCUAGUUGGUGGGGUAAAAGACUACCAAGGCGACGAUCUGUAGCGGGUCUGAGAGGAUGAUCCGCCACACUGGGACUGAGACACGGCCCAGACUCCUACGGGAGGCAGCAGUGGGGAAUAUUGGACAAUGGGGGGAACCCUGAUCCAGCCAUGCCGCGUGUGUGAAGAAGGCCUUAUGGUUGUAAAGCACUUUAAGCGAGGAGGAGGCUACUUUAGUUAAUACCUAGAGAUAGUGGACGUUACUCGCAGAAUAAGCACCGGCUAACUCUGUGCCAGCAGCCGCCGUAA
This 501-nucleotide ribosomal RNA is filed under the name uncultured bacterium. RNAcentral describes it as "partial 16S ribosomal RNA". It matches the Rfam family "Bacterial small subunit ribosomal RNA", at positions 30 to 523 of the family's 1533-position model. The record is from RNAcentral.